RNAcentral lists this ribosomal RNA (406 nucleotides) under uncultured bacterium. Its description in RNAcentral is "partial 16S ribosomal RNA". It matches the Rfam family "Bacterial small subunit ribosomal RNA", at positions 30 to 526 of the family's 1533-position model. The record is from RNAcentral.
AUUGAACGCUGGCGGCAGGCCUAACACAUGCAAGUCGAACGAGUGGCGGACGGGUGAGUAAUGUAUGGGAAACUGCCUGAUGGAGGGGGAUAACUACUGGAAACGGUGGCUAAUACCGCAUACUAUCGGAUGAGCCCAGAUGGGAUUAGCUGGUCGGUGGGGUAACGGCUCACCUAGGCGACGAUCCCUAGCUGGUCUGAGAGGAUGACCAACCCCACGGGAACUGAGACACGGUCCAGACUCCGACAUGACGCAUCGUUGUAUAAUAUUGCACAAUGGGCGCAAGCCUGAGCCAGCCAUGCCGCGUGUAUGAAGAAGUCCUUAGGGUUUUAAAGUACUUUCAGCGGGGAGGCGUUACCCGCAGAAGAAGCACCGGCUAACUCCGUGCCAGCAGCCGCGGUAAUAC